Molecule: ribosomal RNA, 253 nt
Filed under: uncultured bacterium
Lineage: Bacteria
Description: partial 16S ribosomal RNA
Rfam family: Bacterial small subunit ribosomal RNA
Source: RNAcentral
UACGUAGGGGGCGAGCGUUGUCCGGAUUUACUGGGCGUAAAGAGCGCGUAGGUGGUCUGAAGAGUCGGCUGUGAAAUCUCUGGGCCCAACCCAGAGGGGUCGGCCGAGACCUCCAGACUCGAGGGUGGUAGAGGAAGGUGGAAUUCCGGGUGUAGUGGUGAAAUGCGUAGAGAUCCGGAGGAACACCAGUGGCGAAGGCGGCCUUCUGGGCCACACCUGACGCUGAGGCGCGAAAGCGUGGGGAGCGAACCGA